Long non-coding RNA from Poeciliopsis prolifica (blackstripe livebearer), 415 nucleotides. RefSeq lists it as uncharacterized. The record is from RefSeq and is a predicted model, not a curated record. The transcript is spliced from 7 exons. NCBI's taxonomy places the organism in Eukaryota, Metazoa, Chordata, Actinopteri, Cyprinodontiformes, Poeciliidae.
UAACCUCCCUGCACUGAUACUAAACAGCAGAUGUGCAGGAAGACAGAAAGUUUUCAACAUGAGAGGAUUUUUACUUUUCCUUUGUCUCUUUGCAUACGUCACUGCAAGUCCAUGCCCAUUUGGACUUCCAGGUUCUUGUGUGCCGCUGGAAGGAGUGAACAACACCAGCAACUUUACUAACCUAGUAGAAACCAACAACACAACAAAAAAUGAGACAACAGAUGCAGAAGUCAAAUUGGAAGGGAUACGGAUUCCAAUUCAAGAACCGACAAAAAAUUGAUCCGUCUGACUGAAUGUUUUCCAUUCUCAACAAAGUGAGACUUGGACCAGAAAAACACUAGAAAAAGAAAACCAUGGAGAAGAAUACACGCUCCUAAAUUCAAGCCAUGAAUUUAAAUAAAACAUUUAAAUGUAA